RNAcentral lists this transfer RNA (71 nucleotides) under Chascanopsetta lugubris (pelican flounder). Its description in RNAcentral is "tRNA-Thr". It matches the Rfam family "tRNA". From Rfam's summary of the family: Transfer RNA (tRNA) molecules are approximately 80 nucleotides in length. Their secondary structure includes four short double-helical elements and three loops (D, anti-codon, and T loops). Further hydrogen bonds mediate the characteristic L-shaped molecular structure. tRNAs have two regions of fundamental functional importance: the anti-codon, which is responsible for specific mRNA codon recognition, and the 3' end, to which the tRNAs corresponding amino acid is attached (by aminoacyl-tRNA synthetases). tRNAs cope with the degeneracy of the genetic code in two manners: having more than one tRNA (with a specific anti-codon) for a particular amino acid; and 'wobble' base-pairing, i.e. permitting non-standard base-pairing at the 3rd anti-codon position. Lineage: Eukaryota; Metazoa; Chordata; Actinopteri; Pleuronectiformes; Bothidae. The record is from RNAcentral.
GCAGCAGUAGCUCAGAACCAGAGCGCCGGUCUUGUAAACCGGAGGUCGGGGGCUAAUCCCCCCCUCCUGGG